UAUCCCUCAUUGUAAAAAAAUCUUGGCUUCUUCCCUUCUUCCUUCUCACAAGAUAGCCUCAUUGCCACCGCCGGCCCUCAUCUCCGCCGAUGGCGCCACUGCCAGAUCUCAUCAGGUUGUAGCAUUUCAUCAGGCCUUGGUGGUGUUUUGAAUGUAUCAAAACCAGCAAAGGGAUCAUUGGUUGUUGUUUUUGGCCUUGGAGCUAUAGGACUUGCGGUCCUAAUUUAUCAUUUCAAGCACAGAGGUUGAUCAAGCAUAUUCAAAACUUGAGAAAGGUCAUCUACGCAGAUACUAGAUUGUAAUUUGAAGCUGCAUGAGGAAAUUUGUAGACCCUAAAAUUGUUAGAACAAUUACAAAGUGUAUCCAAUUAUACUUCAACGAUGCAUGGCCAACAUGGAAGAAAGUUCCUGAAGCUAUCAAAGAUGAGAUGUGGGCAAAAUUUGAGGGAAAAUUUAUGUGGCCUAUUGAGAAAGCAAAAGUUGUGAGAGCAAUUUGGGAGACUACGUGCAAGGAACGGUUGCGUGGUAUGUUGGAAGAAGAAAGGAAGCGGGCAAUGAGACAUUUUGGUGUUAGUGAAAUUUCAAAGUGCAAAGGUUACAAUGUAGGUUGGAUUCGACUGGACAUUUGGGAUCGAUUGGUUAGUGAUGUGUGGACUACGGAUGCAUG
This is a long non-coding RNA of Dioscorea cayenensis subsp. rotundata (Guinea yam), 666 nucleotides long. RefSeq lists it as uncharacterized. The transcript is spliced from 5 exons. NCBI's taxonomy places the organism in Eukaryota, Viridiplantae, Streptophyta, Magnoliopsida, Dioscoreales, Dioscoreaceae. The record is from RefSeq and is a predicted model, not a curated record.